GGGGGAUUACUGUUUCCCUACGGGGACAGAGUGACAGGUGGUGCAUGGUUGUCGUCANNUCGUGUNUGAGAUGUUGUUUUUAAGUCCCGUAACGAGCGCAACCCUUGAUCUUAGUUGCCAGCAUUCAGUUGGGCACUCUAAGGUGACUGCCGGUGACAAACCGGAGGAAGGUGGGGAUGACGUCAAAUCAUCAUGCCCCUUAUGACCUGGGCUACACACGUGCUACAAUGGACAGAACAAAGGGCUGCGAGACCGCAAGGUUUAGCCAAUCCCACAAAUCUGUUCUCAGUUCGGAUCGCAGUCUGCAACUCGACUGCGUGAAGCUGGAAUCGCUAGUAAUCGCGGAUCAGCAUGCCGCGGUGAAUACGUUCCCGGGCCUUGUACACACCGCCCGUCACACCACGAGAGUUUGCAACACCCGGAAGUCCGGUGAGGUAAAU
This 440-nucleotide ribosomal RNA is filed under the name Bacillus safensis subsp. osmophilus. RNAcentral describes it as "bacterial SSU rRNA". It matches the Rfam family "Bacterial small subunit ribosomal RNA", at positions 1001 to 1472 of the family's 1533-position model. The record is from RNAcentral. Lineage: Bacteria; Bacillati; Bacillota; Bacilli; Caryophanales; Bacillaceae.